Long non-coding RNA from Musa acuminata AAA Group (dessert banana), 4164 nucleotides. RefSeq lists it as uncharacterized. The transcript has 3 exons. The record is from RefSeq and is a predicted model, not a curated record. Lineage: Eukaryota; Viridiplantae; Streptophyta; Magnoliopsida; Zingiberales; Musaceae.
AUCGCCCUUCUCUUCAAUCUAGGGUUGCGUCGCCGCCUGUCCUACUAUUGGUUCUCGUUCCCCCUUCGGUUUCCGUCCCAAUCUUUUGUGUCCGAUCUGAUGGUUGAGCCACUCUGUUCGCCGAUACACGGCCGAUCUGAUGUUUCGGCGACACCGAUCAUCGAUCAUGCCCGAUUUGAUUAUUUUGAGGUUUCCGUCUUCGAUACAUGGCCAUAUGAUGUUUCGGCGGCUUUGGUAGCCGAUCUAUGAUUUUGAAGUGGUAACUGGAUGCUGGGGUUCGUGCAGAGCUUCGGGGUUCGUGAAUGGAGCGGCAGCAGCUUAUGAUCGUGUAUCUCGUUCCAGCUGGUGUUCAUUCAUGCCCUAAUUGGACCUUGUUUUUUACGCGGCGCAUCGGGAGACGAAGAUAUAUGUUUCAGACGAGGUUGUUGGUGGACGGAUCCUCAUCAUGUCUCUCGUUUUAAGUACUUAGAACUAGAGAUGUUAAUAUGGGGUUCUUUCUGAUGUAGAGCAUCUGCAAAGCCGGAAAUCUCCAUCGAGGGUAAGGUAAAUUAGGGACAUGUUCAGUCCAUCUAUUCUUUUGUCACACCGACCUUUGCCAUGUUGGGUGCGCUCGCAUGGCAGGUCAAAGAAACAUAAUAAAAAAAGAAGUUUUUUUGUGUUCUUGGGGAGAUCGCAUGGGGUGAUUUUAGAACCCCGGGUUCUCCCCACGGUGUGUAUUUUGUUCCCCUCCAUAUACUCCGCCCUCCAGAUUUCUUGCACGGUCUCCUCGGGACGAUUCCAUGAACUUCCUGAUCAGUACCUUCUACAAUCAUGAUCCACCAAUACUCGUGGCAAUACGGAAGCAUAGUGAACAUACUGAGGCACAUCUACGGGAAUCGUCUGCAUCAUACUAAGGUACUAUUUUCUUACCCGAUGUGGUCACCCCAAAGCCAUCCUCUCUGCCAGUUGCAAGGUAUGAUUUACUUCGAGUUAGCGUUCGAACGACUUAUGCAAUUGAAAAUAAUUCCGCAUCUAUCAGUUAGUGAUUAUUGAUCUAUCACCAAGGCUGUUUAGUCAAUAUCCAUAAUAAUCCUGGUUUACCCAGUGUUGUCUCCACCCGGUUUAGAGUACCGCUUUCGAUCUCGUUACAUUUUAAGUAUUAAGCAUUUAUUUAUGCGUUAUUGUCUCGAAUACCGAGGUUCAUGGAUCAUUGUGCAAUUGUUGUGGUAUAUUGUCCGCUUGGUCUUUGUAUUUCAAUUUAGGUGUUUUACUUGUUUGUUUAUGAUGUAACUUGUCAAGCAAAGGACCCUAUCUAGGCAAUGUCGUUAUGCCUCGGAACUGUGUGAUUGCAUGUUGUAUGUGAGAUAUUUUGUGUCUUUGUUCAUAAUGUUUCCUAGGAUUGAUUCGUGGCCGGCCUCUCGUGACGGUCUUGAGAUUUGCGGAAUCAGCUGCUGUGAAGACUCGUGGCGGUAGAAGACUGCUGGUAUUCGCUUCGAUGACUAGCGGAUUCAGUGUGUACCAUGGUCGCUCAGUUUUCUUGAGCCUGGAACCGAUCUUCCGGAUUCUGCCUUCUCGAUCUGUGCAGCUGCAGUUCGCUACUUGCUUGAGAUUUCAACGUGGCAGUUCGUUUACUGCUGUAAAAUGGUUUGCUCAACUAAUUUAUAUCUUUCCUGCAUAUCAAGCUUCAUGUUAGCUAACAUUUGAUCGCAGAGUCAGUUGGGAGGUUGUACGCCUAAAUAUGUGUGCUCUUAAAGAGGUUUAAUGGUAUGGCAUGUGGUGAUUAUGCAUUCUCGUCAUAUACGUUUAUUCGCUUGCUAUUUGUCUAAUGUAGCCUAAUUUUCUGUAAAUGGUUUCCGGUCAUUCAUUUUAAUGUCGUUAACAUCGGUUUUCCUCUCAAUGUUUGCAUUGCUGUAGCUUAUUUUUUUUUGCCUUUUUUAUUCCGCCAGGUUGUGUUGGCGGUGAAUCUGUGUUGAUUAAUUGCCAUUAACACUAUUAUGAAGAUUUGCUGUUGUAUAUCAACGGCAGUUGUGUUUAAGUCGUUUACUGGAGAAUAUUAACGUGGGCAUCUCCAUGUUAAAAGUCUCCUCCAAAGUAGGCCAAUGGCAUAUGGAGUUAUUAUUGUGUGAGUUAAUGGGAAUUUGAUCCAAUUUUAUAAGCGUUUGUUCGUGGAAUCAACCGAAAUUAUAUUCUUUUAAUUUUUUCGUAUUCUGUCAGAAAUUUUGUUAAAUAUUUAUAUUGCAUUUUAAGUUGUGACGUUGUACUCGUUUUGGUUGAUGUCUUAUAUUCUCUAUUUUUUAAAGGUAACAAUUAUGUGAGUUGUCCAUUGUAACCCCGGCCUGUGUGGUAGAGUUAUCGAGGUUUAAACGAGAUAAAAAGUUGAUAAAUCAUUAGGCGAUUUGUAGUCUGUUGAAGUUUUGCAGUGACGUGUCCAUUUACUUCGCAUUUGUGAAUCGGGUACUCGUGGUUCUUAAACCGCCCAUCUACGUGCCGAUGGCUUUUCUAUUCAAACCCGAAUCUUGUUUCUGCCUUGGGGGUAAGGCUCAAAUCGCUGGUUAGGUUGCAAGUGAAGCCUUAUUUAUCUUUUUAUUUUUGCUAGAUUUCGAGAGCCGGGUGGUUAGGUUGCAAGUGAAGCCUUAUUUAUCUUUUUAUUUUUGCUAGAUUUCGAGAGCCGGGUGAGUUUGUGUUGUAUUCAUUUUGUCGUUUGGAAGCCACAUUCUGUUGGAGUGCUGCAUAUGGAUCUUUAAGCUCAAAAUGGCAGAGCGCUCAGUCGUUUGUGUAUCAAAUGGCUCGAGAGGGUGGUGGUUCGAAUCCAUCAAGAUCUACUUGAUUUGUUUACUUUUUGGUGCUGCAUGGACUGUGUCAUGGUCGUUGGGCUGUCGAGGCUGUGUUGGAUGAUCAAAUCUGGGCCCUAUUGGAAAAUGUAGUUUUUAAUGGUGUAAAAAAUUAUCAUCUGUAUACUUAAGAUGGUAAAACUGUUUUCUUAUAAUUAAGAAAGAUAAUAAAAGAUGUAGGAACACAAUUAGGUAAUUAUUCAGAGCAACUAUUUAAUUUGUUUUUCGGAUGGUAUUUUCUUUCAUUCCUGUAGGAAGACUUAGGCAAAAUCAGAGUAUUUUCUUUUAGGAACACUUAACAGAUAGUAUUUUAUUUCAUUCUUGUAGGAAGACUUGAAUGCAGUAUUAUACAUUUUUAUAAUAAAUAUAAAUCAAUAGCAUUUAUUUGUUUUUAGGGUUGGAGUCUGAUUUUAUGACUAUGCUUGAGACACUAGUGAGAAGGAAAUAAAUAAAAUAAUAUUAUAUUUUAGAUAAAAUUAAAGAUACAAAUGAGCAAAGUAAGCUAUCAGAUAAAAAUUAAACGGAGUUAAAAAUUUAUUUACAUUAUGUAAAUUAGAUGUAUAGUUGACGUGUUGAUUACAAGCUGGAGAAAUGAAACAUUAAAUUUGAUGGUGAUAUUGUGGAGAAAUAAAAAAAUUAUAUAGGAGAUGGAGAUUUCUAAUGGUAAUUUUUAAUUAUUUAUAAAAUUUUAAAAAAAAAUUAAUAUUUCGAAAAUUAUCUAAAAGUAAAUGGAAGUAAAUAUUUUAUUUUCUUCUGUUCCAGUGACAAGCGGCGGCCAACGACAAUUAGAUGGGUGAGCAACGAGUGAUUUUCAAUAGCAAAUAAUAUUGAUGACAAGCAGUCAACGACUUCGAGUGUCAUCGAGCGAUGUCUUUCCCUUCAUCGAGCAGUGUCGUCGUGAAUGGUCACAAACUAUGGCAUAGAGCGACAUUGAACGAUGGAAAAUUUUAAUAUUUCAAAGAUAUUCCAAAGUAAAUGUGAGCAAUGAGUGUUUCUGACAUCAAGCAGUGUCCGAUGACAAUCUGUCAAUGAGCAGCAACAUCUAAACAGUGACGAUGUCGAGUGGCAUCGAGUGAGAUAUUGAACGACGAAGAUCACUAGUGUUCCAGUAGAUGACGCAAGAGAUCAAGAGAACAAAGAUAUGCUCGAUGAUUAAGUGAUUAUUAAUAGUAAAAUUAUAUUAUUAUUAUUAUUAUUAUUAUUAUUAUUAUUAUAAGAUUUUGUAAAUAGUAGUAGGUGUUUGCUAAAAACACGCUUCCCUCUUGAACAGAAAAAGUCAUGAUUGACUUAAUAAUUUAAAUAAUGUUAACUUUCAAUAAUGGACCAAACCGGUUGGGUUCAAACUAUUCCUCCA